AGUGAACGCUGGCGGCAGGCCUAACACAUGCAAGUCGAGCGGCAGCGCGGGGGCAACCCUGGCGGCGAGCGGCGGACGGGUGAGGAAUUCGUCGGAAUCUGCCUUUUUGUGGGGGAUAACGUAGGGAAACUUACGCUAAUACCGCAUACGUCCUACGGGAGAAAGUGGGGGACCGCAAGGCCUCACGCAGAAAGAUGAGCCGACGACCGAUUAGCUAGUUGGUGGGGUAAAGGCCCACCAAGGCGACGAUCGGUAGCUGGUCUGAGAGGAUGAUCAGCCACACUGGGACUGAGACACGGCCCAGACUCCUACGGGAGGCAGCAGUGGGGAAUAUUGGACAAUGGGCGCAAGCCUGAUCCAGCCAUGCCGCGUGUGUGAAGAAGGUCUUCGGGUUGUAAAGCACUUUUGUCCGGAAAGAAAUCCCUGGAGCUAAUACCUUCGGGGGAUGACGGUACCGGAAGAAUAAGCACCGGCUAACUUCGUG
RNAcentral lists this ribosomal RNA (484 nucleotides) under uncultured bacterium. RNAcentral describes it as "partial 16S ribosomal RNA". It matches the Rfam family "Bacterial small subunit ribosomal RNA", at positions 29 to 507 of the family's 1533-position model. The record is from RNAcentral.